CAUCUACAUCAUAACACGGGAUGGGGAUAAGGAUCUGAAAACACACAGGUUGAUUGUAUUUCCAAACCCAUUAAGGGGGAAAACCUGCUUAUCACAUUUAUUGCUCACAAACAAACAGUCAUAAAAUAAUACUAAGUAAUAAUAGUAAAAGGCUGAAGGAGUUGUUUAACAGUACACUGAUCUCAGAUUAGCAGGAGAAUAGCUUUAUAAAGGAAUAUGGCACAAAAUCUUAUAGACUUUGCGUGGAACAUUUUUAAUGCCUAACUACUGAUGACAUUGAUUUGAGGUU
Non-coding RNA from Pelobates cultripes (western spadefoot toad), 289 nucleotides. Lineage: Eukaryota; Metazoa; Chordata; Amphibia; Anura; Pelobatidae. The record is from the annotation of a GenBank genome assembly.